RNAcentral lists this ribosomal RNA (496 nucleotides) under Loligo reynaudii. Its description in RNAcentral is "partial 16S ribosomal RNA". It matches the Rfam family "Bacterial large subunit ribosomal RNA", at positions 1926 to 2612 of the family's 2925-position model. Lineage: Eukaryota; Metazoa; Mollusca; Cephalopoda; Myopsida; Loliginidae. The record is from RNAcentral.
AACAGCUGCGGUAUUUUAACUGUACUAAGGUAGCAUAAUAAUUUGCCUUAUAAUUUGAGGCUAGAAUGAAUGGUUUGACGAAGGUUAAUCUGUCUCUAUUUUAUUUUUUAGAAAUUAAUUUUCAUAGUGAAAAAGCUUGAAUUUUUUAAAGGGACGAGAAGACCCUACUGAGCUUGUAAUUUUAUUAUUACUGCUAUUUGUAAUUGGGGCAGUAAUAUAUAAAUUUUAAUUGGGGUGAUUAAGGAAUAAAAUAAAUAUAUUUAGUAACUUCCUUAUAAAGUAUAUUGUUAGAUGAAGUAACCAAUAAAGUUACAUGAUAUUGUAAUAAAUAUUGCUUAUAAUAUAGUUACCAUAGGGAUAACAGCGUAAUUUAUUUAGAGAGUUCUUAUUGAAAAAUGAGAUUGCGACCUCGAUGUUGGAUUAAAGUAACCUUAAGGUGUAGAAGCUUUAUAGGGUAAAUCUGUUCGAUUUUUAAAACUUUACGUGAUCUGAGUUC